This 558-nucleotide ribosomal RNA is filed under the name uncultured bacterium. RNAcentral describes it as "bacterial SSU rRNA". It matches the Rfam family "Bacterial small subunit ribosomal RNA", at positions 348 to 916 of the family's 1533-position model. The record is from RNAcentral.
GCAGCAGUGGGGAAUAUUGCACAAUGGGCGGAAGCCUGAUGCAGCAACGCCGCGUGCGGGAUGACGGCCUUCGGGUUGUAAACCGCUUUCGCCUGUGACGAAGCGUGAGUGACGGUAAUGGGUAAAGAAGCACCGGCUAACUACGUGCCAGCAGCCGCGGUGAUACGUAGGGUGCGAGCGUUGUCCGGAUUUAUUGGGCGUAAAGGGCUCGUAGGUGGUUGAUCGCGUCGGAAGUGUAAUCUUGGGGCUUAACCCUGAGCGUGCUUUCGAUACGGGUUGACUUGAGGAAGGUAGGGGAGAAUGGAAUUCCUGGUGGAGCGGUGGAAUGCGCAGAUAUCAGGAGGAACACCUGUGGCGAAGGCGGUUCUCUGGGCCUUUCCUGACGCUGAGGAGCGAAAGCGUGGGGAGCGAACAGGCUUAGAUACCCUGGUAGUCCACGCUGUAAACGGUGGGUACUAGGUGUGGGGUCCAUUCCACGGGUUCCGUGCCGUAGCUAACGCUUUAAGUACCCCGCCUGGGGAGUACGGCCGCAAGGCUAAAACUCAAAUGAAUUGACGG